Molecule: ribosomal RNA, 301 nt
Filed under: uncultured bacterium
Lineage: Bacteria
Description: partial 16S ribosomal RNA
Rfam family: Bacterial small subunit ribosomal RNA
Source: RNAcentral
CAGUCGCCACGGGAAUACGGAGGGUGCAAGCGUUAAUCGGAAUUACUGGGCGUAAAGCGCACGCAGGCGGUCUGACAAGUCAGAUGUGAAAUCCCCGGGCUUAACCUGGGAACUGCAUUUGAAACUGUCAGGCUGGAGUCUUGUAGAGGGGGGUGGAAUUCCAGGUGUAGCGGUGAAAUGCGUAGAGAUCUGGAGGAAUACCGGUGGCGAAGGCGGCACCCUGGACAAAGACUGACGCUCAGGUGCGAAAGCGUGGGGAGCAAACAGGAUUAGAUACCCCGGUAGUCCCUGUCUCUUAUAC